CCUACGGGAGGCAGCAGUAGGGAAUCUUGCGCAAUGGGCGAAAGCCUGACGCAGCCAUGCCGCGUGAAUGAUGAAGGUCUUAGGAUUGUAAAAUUCUUUCACCGGGGACGAUAAUGACGGUACCCGGAGAAGAAGCCCCGGCUAACUUCGUGCCAGCAGCCGCGGUAAUACGAAGGGGGCUAGCGUUGCUCGGAAUUACUGGGCGUAAAGGGAGCGUAGGCGGAUAGUUUAGUCAGAGGUGAAAGCCCAGGGCUCAACCUUGGAAUUGCCUUUGAUACUGGCUAUCUUGAGUAUGGAAGAGGUAUGUGGAACUCCGAGUGUAGAGGUGAAAUUCGUAGAUAUUCGGAAGAACACCAGUGGCGAAGGCGACAUACUGGUCCAUUACUGACGCUGAGGCUCGAAAGCGUGGGGAGCAAACAGGAUUAGAUACCCUGGUAGUCCACGCCGUAAACGAUGAGUGCUAGUUGUCGGCAUGCAUGCAUGUCGGUGCGCAGCUAACGACAUUAAGUACACCUCCGCCGUCGGGGAGGGUACGGGUCGGCGAAGAAGUUAAAACUUAACUUAAAGGAAAGUUAGUUACGGCGUGAGACGUUGCCGAACGGGACGACCGACCGAAGGGGAAGGUUAGGG
Molecule: ribosomal RNA, 630 nt
Filed under: uncultured bacterium
Lineage: Bacteria
Description: bacterial SSU rRNA
Rfam family: Bacterial small subunit ribosomal RNA (bases 1-517)
Source: RNAcentral